CACCGCCCGUCACACUAUAGGAGCUGGCCAUGUUUGAAGUCAUUACCCUUAACCGUAAGGAGGGGGAUGCCUAAGGCUAGACUUGCGACUGGAGUGAAGUCGUAACAAGGUAGCCGUACUAGAAGGUGCGGCUG
This 134-nucleotide non-coding RNA is filed under the name Brachypodium distachyon (stiff brome). RNAcentral describes it as "rRNA SSU_rRNA_eukarya". It matches the Rfam family "Bacterial small subunit ribosomal RNA", at positions 1388 to 1520 of the family's 1533-position model. Lineage: Eukaryota; Viridiplantae; Streptophyta; Magnoliopsida; Poales; Poaceae. The record is from Rfam by way of RNAcentral.